Molecule: ribosomal RNA, 659 nt
Filed under: Gloeocantharellus purpurascens
Lineage: Eukaryota; Fungi; Basidiomycota; Agaricomycetes; Gomphales; Gomphaceae
Description: eukaryotic LSU rRNA
Rfam family: Eukaryotic large subunit ribosomal RNA
Source: RNAcentral
CUUGAACACGGACUAACAGCUGAACUUGAGAAUCUCCCUUAGUAACUGCGAGUGAAGAGGGAUGAGCUCAAAUUUGAAAUCUGGCGGCGUCCUUCGAGCCGUCCGAGUUGUAGUCUGGAGAAGCGUUAUCGGCGCCGGACCGUGUACAAGUCCCUUGGAACAGGGCGUCAUAGAGGGUGAGAAUCCCGUCUUUGACCCCGACAGCCGGGGCUGUGUGAUGCGCUCUCGAAGAGUCGAGUUGUUUGGGAAUGCAGCUCAAAUCGGGUGGUAAACUCCAUCUAAAGCUAAAUAUGGGCGAAAGACCGAUAGCGAACAAGUACCGUGAGGGAAAGAUGAAAAGCACUUUGAAAAGAGAGUUAAAUAGGACGUGAAAUUGUUGAAAGGGAAACGCUUGGAGUCAGUCGCGCGUCCCUCCGGAGUCAGCUUCACGUGCGCGUGGGGUGCAUUUCCGUGGGGGAUGGGCCAGCGUCGAUUUGACUGUCGAARAAGGGUGUGAGGUUUGCUUUUGAUCGGGCAAGCCUUUGCCCGUCGUAAGCGAAGGGUUUGGAUCGAGGGCCCCAACACACCUUGUCGUUUUUAACSGGCCGGGUACCCGGGGGUUUAUCCCACCGAAUUUAAUGUGCUUAAGACGCUGGCGUAAUGGCUUUAAGCGACCCCUC